UGGGGAAUUUUGGACAAUGGACGCAAGUCUGAUCCAGCCAUGCCGCGUGCGGGUAGAAGGCCUUCGGGUUGUAAACCGCUUUUGUCAGGGAAGAAACGAGUUUCUCUAAUACAGAGACUUAAUGACGGUACCUGAAGAAUAAGCACCGGCUAACUACGUGCCAGCAGCCGCGGUAAUACGUAGGGUGCAAGCGUUAAUCGGAAUUACUGGGCGUAAAGCGUGCGCAGGCGGUUAUGCAAGACAGAUGUGAAAUCCCCGGGCUCAACCUGGGAACUGCAUUUGGGACUGUAUAGCUAGAGUACGGCAGAGGGGGAUGGAAUUCCGCGUGUAGCAGUGAAAUGCGUAGAUAUGCGGAGGAACACCGAUGGCGAAGGCAAUCCCCUGGGCCUGUACUGACGCUCAUGCACGAAAGCGUGGGGAGCAAACA
Molecule: ribosomal RNA, 427 nt
Filed under: uncultured bacterium
Lineage: Bacteria
Description: bacterial SSU rRNA
Rfam family: Bacterial small subunit ribosomal RNA
Source: RNAcentral